AUGAAUGAAUGUAGAGUCGGUUGUAGCUGGCCUCCCUGGAGGCAUGUGCACGCCUUCUCUUUCAUCCACACACCCCUGUGCACUUGUGAGACGGAGGUCUUUUCCUUUAAGUAGGAUGGUCUCCGUCUGCUAUCACAUAAAAUCUAAUUUAUUUAAAACUGAAUGUAAUCUGAUGUAACGCAUCUAAUAC
RNAcentral lists this unclassified non-coding RNA (190 nucleotides) under uncultured Rhizoctonia. Its description in RNAcentral is "sequence contains ITS1". Lineage: Eukaryota; Fungi; Basidiomycota. The record is from RNAcentral.